Molecule: non-coding RNA, 237 nt
Organism: Paramuricea clavata
Lineage: Eukaryota; Metazoa; Cnidaria; Anthozoa; Malacalcyonacea; Plexauridae
Source: the annotation of a GenBank genome assembly
AAUUGUACAAUAUGUUUGCAGAAAAUGACAUUCAAUGGUAUUCACAACAUUGGUAGACUGUUUCAACAUCAUUAACUACUCACUGUCCCAAGAGGUUUGUGUGUGACACUGCAGCUGUGAAAAUGACGUCAAACAUUAUCCGUAGUAUAGUUGGGAAGACUUUGAGAUAUGAAGAAACUUUACCAAGUUUGCCUGUACCACUUCUUAAACAGACAUGUGCAAAAUAUCUCGAGUCAG